AUACUUAGGGAAAUCUUGGGACACUGUGGAAGCCCAGAGAAUCUGAUCCCGGGUCCCACAACUUCACAUAUCGCGAGUAAGUGGGAGGCAAAGAAAAUUCUUUUUCUCCUCUUUUGGGACAGUUUGUGACUAGUAGUGCCUGUGCCCCUGGAAAGGUUGGAGACUUGGGGGACGACUGGAGAAUUGCCAUUUGAGGACCAAAGGAGAAAAGAAACUACACGCUAAUUCUAGAAGGCCUCCUGUCCCUGCCUGCUCUGGGUGCUCAUGGAACCAGCUGCUGCCCUGCACUUCUCCCGGCCAGCCUCCCUCCUCCUCCUCCUCAGCCUGUGUGCACUGGUCUCAGCCCAGGUCACUGUCGUGGGGCCCACUGAUCCCAUCCUGGCCAUGGUGGGAGAAAACACUACGUUACGAUGCUGUCUGUCACCCGAGGAAAAUGCUGAGGACAUGGAGGUGCGGUGGUUCCAGUCUCAGUUCUCCCCUGCAGUGUUUGUGUAUAAGGGUGGAAGAGAGAGAACAGAGGAGCAGAAGGAGGAGUACCGAGGGAGAACCACCUUUGUGAGCAAAGACAGCAGGGGCAGCGUGGCCCUGAUCAUACACAAUGUCACAGCCGAGGAUAACGGCAUCUACCAGUGUUACUUCCAAGAAGGCAGGUCCUGCAAUGAGGCCAUCCUGCACCUUGUGGUGGCAGGUGCGUUGCUUCAUUUUGCUUUGUUACUUUGGCACUGUGUGACUUUGGGUAAAGCUUCUCUUCUAAAUUCCAGCCCAUUGCAGACCAGCACAAUCCUCUUUCCUGGAUCCCCAUUCCGCAGGGACACUCUCCCUAUGAAAAGAAGAUUCCAGGGAAAAAUCCUUCCUCCUGCACAAGGGCCACCAUGAGUGAGUUUGCCCUGCUAAGCCGUGGGCUUGACUUCUUGAGAAGCACAUGCAGAACUCAGUUGAGGCCAUGAGCCGGGGAAAAUGGUGAAUCUCGGAAGAGAAGUCCUAUGCCUGCCUUAGCACUGAGCUGUGCACUUCUGAGAGUGAGAGGAGACACCAUCAAUAAUUGUCUUGGGACAACUGGAAUAAACAGUGACUGCCCAGAGAACUACGAUAUUUGAAAUCUUAUUUCUUGAUGAAUAUUCAUCCUGACUUCUUUCCUGAAAUGCUGUUUGCAAAGAGAGUGACUUAUAUGACUGGACUCUGAGCCCGUCAUUGAAAUGAGAGACCACGAGGACGGGGGCAUCCAGCUGGAGUGCAUAUCUGGAGGGUGGUACCCAAAGCCCCUCACAGUGUGGAGGGACCCCUACGGUGAGGUCGUGCCUGCCCUGAAGGAGGUCUCCACCCCUGACGCAGACAGCCUCUUCAUGGUCACCACAGCUGUGAUCAUCAGAGACAAGUCUGUGAGGAACGUGUCCUGCUCUAUCAAUGACACCCUGCUCGGCCAGAAGAAAGAAAGUGUCAUUUUUAUUCCAGAAUCCUUUAUGCCCAGCAGGUCUCCAUGUGUGGUGAUCCUGCCUGUUAUCAUGAUUAUUCUGAUGAUACCCAUUGCCAUAUGCAUCUACUGGAUCAACAAUCUCCAAAAGGAAAAAAAAGAUUCUGUCAGGGCAAAAGGAGCUUGAACAGGAAAGGAAAGAAACUGCACUAAAGGAACUGGAGAAAGAACAUGUGGAAAAAGAGAAAGAACUUCAGAUAAACAGUAAAAGAGGCCAGAGCAACUUCUGAAGAAUUGCAUACGUUUAGCCUUUCCUGAACUACUCCAUGUACAAUUUGUGUUCUGCUCAUUUAGCAGCAUCUCAUGACAUUCAACCUCUGUCUGUCCCUUGCAGGAUGGAGAAGAACAUUCUUACAUGCUGGGUGCCCUCGUCAGUCAUUUAAAUCAGUUGUCAUCUGGUAAAAGGAACACAUAGGACCAACGAAGAAACCCUUUAUCCUCCAGGACAGUGUGAAGGGAAAGACUCACCUUAGUUGAUCCAAUGGGGAGAGGAGGAGCAGGACAUAAAGCCUCUGUGCUGGUUUGAGCCAAGUUGGAAAGUUUCUAACUAAAGAAAGUCCCAGAGAUCAUAGGUCUUGAAUAGAAAAGGGAAUAGAUUUUAGAAUGCUAAAAUUGUGAAUGAUUAAUUUGGGCUCAUUCCCCAAAUUCUCUGGAUUUCAUAAAGCCUCAGUUCUUCUCAACCUGAGGGUGCUGCUUACUGUCUCUGGAGAGACAGAAAUGCAGCUUCAGAGGCCAGGAUGGUGGCUCACACCUGUAAUCCCAGCACUUUGGGAGGCAGAGGUGGGAGGAUCAACUGAGGUUGGGCAUUCGAGACCAGCCUGACCAACAUGGAGAGAAACCCUGUUUCUACUAAAAAUAUAAAAUUAGCCAGGCACGGUGGCACAUACCUGUAACCCCAGCUCCUUGGGGGGCUGAGGCAGGAGAAUCACUUGAACCCGGGAGACAGAGGUUGCGGUGAGCCGAGAUUGCACCACUGCACUCAGGCCUGGCAACAAGAGCAAAGCUCAGUCUC
Molecule: long non-coding RNA, 2483 nt
Organism: Homo sapiens (human)
Lineage: Eukaryota; Metazoa; Chordata; Mammalia; Primates; Hominidae
Gene: BTN2A3P
Product: butyrophilin subfamily 2 member A3, pseudogene
Source: Ensembl